GUAAACUACUGCCACUGCCACCCUUCUGGCUUCUCUGGUUCCAUCAAGAACUGGGAGGAGAGAGAUAAAAGAAAGAAAGAGACACUUUUUGAAGAGAGAGAGAGAGAGAGAGAGAGAGAGAAACCCAUUUCACUUUCCCCUUCUUUGAGCUACAUACGUGACUCAAAAAGCCCGAGUCUUUAGGGUUUUUUUUGCUGUUUGUUCAUCAUUAUAGAUUCUUUGAGCUUUUGAGAACUCAUCAAUGGUGGACUUCCCAGAAUCAAGGUAGGUAGAUUGCAAUCUAUAAUAUAUAUAUAUAUAUAUAUAUUCUAUGCCAGCGGUCAUCUUGUUAUUGCUCAAUCAGUGACUUAGCUUUCAUACUGACACUAUAUAGAAUGGUACUUAUAGCGCCAGAAGGGUAAUUUUCUACUACCCUCUUGUUGAGCAACUAUUUAUUUCUAAUCAAAGUGAAAAAAGCCGGUGGCUUUUGGGUUUUUGGGAUUAAAUGAAGUAAAAUAAAUGCUUGGUUUUAGCUCUGCUAGCUCCUGUAGGAGUUGGUUUCGUAUUUGAUCUUACGGAGGGGAGAUAGAGAGAGCGCAACAUGGUGUUUUGGAGCUUAUGUGUUUGAUCUGUGGAAUGACAGAAAGCAAAGAUUUUGGGUGGUUUUCUGGGCACAGCCAUUUAAAAAUGGCUUGGAUUCAGCAUCAAGUCCAGCAAAUAGAUGGUUCAUGGAGUUAUUCACCUCCUAUUUCUCCUCCUCCUCCUUCGGUCCCUUAUACUGCUACUUUUCAUAAAGAAUCAACCCCAUCUUCAUCGUCAUCACCAUCAUCCUCUGGCACGAGAAUAAGUCCUGCAGUUCUUUUCAUUAUUGUGAUUCUAGCUGUACUGUUUUUCAUCUCUGGUCUGCUCCACCUGCUUGUUAGAUUUCUUAUAAAGCAUCCAUCUUCUUCAGCUUCUUCCCAGUCCAAUAGAUACCCAGAGAUUUCUACGUCUGAUGCUCUCCAGAGACAGCUACAGCAGCUCUUCCAUCUCCAUGAUUCUGGUCUGGAUCAAGCUUUUAUAGAUGCUCUUCCUGUUUUCCAGUACGAAGAGAUAGUAGGUCCAAAAGAGCCGUUUGAUUGUGCUGUUUGUUUGUGUGAAUUUUCAGACAAGGACAAGCUCAGGUUGCUUCCUAUGUGCAGCCAUGCUUUCCAUUUGAAUUGUAUAGACACUUGGCUCCUAUCAAAUUCAACAUGUCCCCUUUGUAGGGGAACCCUUUUCACUCCUGAGUAUUCCAUUGAAAACCCAAUUUUCGAUUUCGAUGAUUUGAGAGAAGAAGAUGGGCGUCUUGGUCAUGGAGAAAUCGGCUUCACUCCUAGUCAAAAAACCGUGGAAGCUGAAGAAAUUGUUGUUGAAAAGGGGGUUUUGCCUGUGAGACUUGGUAAAUUCAGAAGGGUGGAUGGUCAGGCAGCAGGGGAAUCUGGAGGAGGAGAGACUAGUAGCAGUAAUUUGGAUGCUAGAAGAUGUUACUCAAUGGGUUCGUACCAGUAUGUGCUAGUCGAUUCGGAUCUCCGGGUUGCCUUGUGUAAUGAUGGAAAAGGAAGAGAUUUAAAGCUUGACAAAGGGUCUGAGCAAAUUGGUAAAUCUUCAGCUGAUGGUGAUUUGGAGGGAAAGAAGAUUAACAGUGUGAGUAAAGGUGAGAGUUAUUCAGUUUCCAAGAUCUGGCUCUGGUCUAAGAAGGGCAGGUAUUCAAGCUCUACUGAUACGCAGAUGGAUAUGCCUUCUUCUCUUAACAUGGACUUGCCAUGGAUGGGAAGAAAAACACAAGGGGAAUGAGAUGUUGGUAUUCUUUAUUGUUUGUUUUCAUGGUUGCAUAUUAAUCCAUCGAUCAGAACCGGCCACGCCUUUGGAGGUUUAUGUUUUCUACAAAAUAUGAUGUUGUGGACUUUUAAUCAUAUAAGAGGAGAAGAUCGUUGGAACAGCUACACCGAUAGUUGGUGGGAUCAGCUGCCUGUCCCUAUUGAUGGACGGUGGGGGACGGCAUGUGGGACACUCUGUAAUAUCAGAGGACCUUAAUGCACAGAUAAAUUAUCAAUGGUAGACGCAUAUAUAUAUAUAUAUAUAUAUAUAUAUAUUGUUUUUUGCUGAAUCGGUAGACAUAAAUUUAGGGGCCUACAAAAGGGCUCUUCAUCUUCCACAUGUUCCUUAACUGAAUUUUUUGUGAAAUUUACUGAUUGAACCUGGGUUGGCAAUUUUAGUUUUAUCUCAACCAUCAAACAAUGCUAGUGAAGACAAACAAUUCAGUAAUAAUUUCUAUUUUAAAGCGCAA
Molecule: RNA transcript, 2287 nt
Organism: Ziziphus jujuba (common jujube)
Lineage: Eukaryota; Viridiplantae; Streptophyta; Magnoliopsida; Rosales; Rhamnaceae
Gene name: RING-H2 finger protein ATL46
Exons: 2
Source: RefSeq, a predicted model, not a curated record